RNAcentral lists this transfer RNA (750 nucleotides) under Legionella maceachernii. RNAcentral's name for it is "partial 16S-23S ribosomal RNA intergenic spacer". The stretch from base 375 to 447 matches the Rfam family "tRNA". Lineage: Bacteria; Pseudomonadati; Pseudomonadota; Gammaproteobacteria; Legionellales; Legionellaceae. The record is from RNAcentral.
CAGAAGAAGAGACGACGAAGAUUCCGAAUGCAGGGCAUAAGGCCUAAGCAUUGUCAGAAGACAAGGAAAAGAAUAGCAGAUUCUGCGCUGCAAGCUCAGCGAGAAAGAAAAGCAAGCAAAGAAAUUUUGCGAAGAUUUUUUUUGUUAAUCGAGGCAUCGGUGCGAAAGAGUAAGGGAGCCUACGCAAGUAGGUGGCUGAACGAAAGGGUAUCGAUAACGAAGAGUAACAAAAAAAGCGAAAGAAAUUUUUGCGAAGAUUUUUUUUUUGUUAAUCGAGGCAUCGAUGGGAAAGAGUGAGGGAGCCUACGUGAGUAGGUGACCGAGCGAAAGAGUAUCGAUAACGAAGAGUAACAAAAAAAGCUGAAGCAAAAAAAGGGGUCGUAGCUCAGCUGGGAGAGCACCUGCCUUGCACGCAGGGGGUCGGGAGUUCGAUCCUCCCCGGCUCCACCAAUCAGUCGUUUCGUGGAUUGUCAAGACCAAAGUAAUUUUAGCCUUUAGGGGUUGAGAUUAUUUUUGUCUGGAAUAUCCGGAAGUUCAUUAACAAUUUGGUAAAGAAAUAGAGGUAACACAAGCGAAUUAGUAUUGUCCUUGUUGUAUAACCGAGGCCUGGAUUUUGUUUAAGGGGUUGUUUGAAGGGCCCUUUAAAGAGAAUCAUUUGGCAGCAUUAUUCCGUUAAUCGAUGCGUAUUGAGAGCGAGUAAGGGAAGAGGGUGUUGGCAAGAGGUGGUUGAGGUUAUAUGGUCAAGAAGAG